UAGCUUGCUAGAUUGAUGGCGAGUGGCGAACGGGUGAGUAAUACAUCGGAACGUGCCCUGUAGUGGGGGAUAACUAGUCGAAAGAUUAGCUAAUACCGCAUACGACCUGAGGGUGAAAGUGGGGGACCGCAAGGCCUCAUGCUAUAGGAGCGGCCGAUGUCUGAUUAGCUAGUUGGUGGGGUAAAGGCCCACCAAGGCGACGAUCAGUAGCUGGUCUGAGAGGACGAUCAGCCACACUGGGACUGAGACACGGCCCAGACUCCUACGGGAGGCAGCAGUGGGGAAUUUUGGACAAUGGGCGAAAGCCUGAUCCAGCAAUGCCGCGUGUGUGAAGAAGGCCUUCGGGUUGUAAAGCACUUUUGUCCGGAAAGAAAUGGCUCUGGUUAAUACCUGGGGUCGAUGACGGUACCGGAAGAAUAAGGACCGGCUAACUACGUGCCAGCAGCCGCGGUAAUACGUAGGGUCCAAGCGUUAAUCGGAAUUACUGGGCGUAAAGCGUGCGCAGGCGGUUGUGCAAGACCGAUGUGAAAUCCCCGAGCUUAACUUGGGAAUUGCAUUGGUGACUGCACGGCUAGAGUGUGUCAGAGGGGGGUAGAAUUCCACGUGUAGCAGUGAAAUGCGUAGAGAUGUGGAGGAAUACCGAUGGCGAAGGCAGCCCCCUGGGAUAACACUGACGCUCAUGCACGAAAGCGUGGGGAGCAAACAGGAUUAGAUACCCUGGUAGUCCGCGCCCUAAACGAUGUCAACUAGUUGUUGGGGAUUCAUUUCCUUAGUAACGUAGCUAACGCGUGAAGUUGACCGCCUGGGGAGUACGGUCGCAAGAUUAAAACUCAAAGGAAUUGACGGGGACCCGCACAAGCGGUGGAUGAUGUGGAUUAAUUCGAUGCAACGCGAAAAACCUUACCUACCCUUGACAUGCCACUAACGAAGCAGAGAUGCAUUAGGUGCUCGAAAGAGAAAGUGGACACAGGUGCUGCAUGGCUGUCGUCAGCUCGUGUCGUGAGAUGUUGGGUUAAGUCCCGCAACGAGCGCAACCCUUGUCUCUAGUUGCUACGAAAGGGCACUCUAGAGAGACUGCCGGUGACAAACCGGAGGAAGGUGGGGAUGACGUCAAGUCCUCAUGGCCCUUAUGGGUAGGGCUUCACACGUCAUACAAUGGUGCAUACAGAGGGUUGCCAAGCCGCGAGGUGGAGCUAAUCCCAGAAAAUGCAUCGUAGUCCGGAUCGUAGUCUGCAACUCGACUACGUGAAGCUGGAAUCGCUAGUAAUCGCGGAUCAGCAUGCCGCGGUGAAUACGUUCNCCGGGUCUUGUACACACCGCCCGUCACACCAUGGGAGUGGGCUUUACCAGAAGUAGUUAGCCUAAC
RNAcentral lists this ribosomal RNA (1366 nucleotides) under uncultured Ralstonia sp. RNAcentral describes it as "bacterial SSU rRNA". It matches the Rfam family "Bacterial small subunit ribosomal RNA", at positions 76 to 1439 of the family's 1533-position model. Lineage: Bacteria; Pseudomonadati; Pseudomonadota; Betaproteobacteria; Burkholderiales; Burkholderiaceae. The record is from RNAcentral.